This 274-nucleotide long non-coding RNA is filed under the name Monodelphis domestica (gray short-tailed opossum). RNAcentral's name for it is "lncRNA (ENSMODG00000040479.1)". The record is from RNAcentral. Lineage: Eukaryota; Metazoa; Chordata; Mammalia; Didelphimorphia; Didelphidae.
CUUUUAAGGAGGAGCAGACCACCUGCUCUACAAAGAUGGGGACAUGACUGUCAUUUGUUUGGUGAGCAGAUGUGCCAGCUACCCAGAGGGGACAGUCAUGGUACUUGGUGAGAUUCUGCCAGGACUUGAAUUAAGAAAUGAUGCCUGCUUUGCCAUUCACAAAAUUCUUGAAGGUAGGAACCCUGGGCAAAAGAUACCCUGUUCCUGUCUCAAGAUUCUCUCAGAGGGAAAAUUAAUUGAAAUACAAAAUGGAAAAGCUAAAGAAAACAAGUGA